UGAGUAACCUGCCCUUAGCUCUGGGAUAAGCCUGGGAAACUGGGUCUAAUACCGGAUAUGACUCCUCAUCGCAUGGUGGGGGGUGGAAAGCUUUAUUGGUGGUUUUGGAUGGACUCGCGGCCUAUCAGCUUGUUGGUGAGGUAAUGGCUCACCAAGGCGACGACGGGUAGCCGGCCUGAGAGGGUGACCGGCCACACUGGGACUGAGACACGGCCCAGACUCCUACGGGAGGCAG
RNAcentral lists this ribosomal RNA (235 nucleotides) under uncultured bacterium. RNAcentral's name for it is "partial 16S ribosomal RNA". It matches the Rfam family "Bacterial small subunit ribosomal RNA", at positions 118 to 351 of the family's 1533-position model. The record is from RNAcentral.